Molecule: ribosomal RNA, 198 nt
Filed under: uncultured bacterium
Lineage: Bacteria
Description: partial 16S ribosomal RNA
Rfam family: Bacterial small subunit ribosomal RNA
Source: RNAcentral
ACGCUCGACACCUACGGGAGGCAGCAGUGGGGAAUAUUGCACAAUGGGGGAAACCCUGAUGCAGCGACGCCGCGUGAGCGAAGAAGUAUCUCGGUAUGUAAAGCUCUAUCAGCAGGGAAGAAGAUGACGGUACCUGACUAAGAAGCACCGGCUAAAUACGUGCCAGCAGCUGCGGUAAUCUGAGCGGGCUGGCAAGGC